GUGCUCACUUCGGCAGCACAUAUACUAAAAUUGAAACAAUACAGAGAUUAGCAUGGCUCCUGCACAAGGAUGACACGCAAAUUCGUGAAGUGUUCCAUAUUUUU
RNAcentral lists this small nuclear RNA (104 nucleotides) under Mus pahari (shrew mouse). Lineage: Eukaryota; Metazoa; Chordata; Mammalia; Rodentia; Muridae. The record is from RNAcentral.